This 253-nucleotide ribosomal RNA is filed under the name uncultured bacterium. Its description in RNAcentral is "partial 16S ribosomal RNA". It matches the Rfam family "Bacterial small subunit ribosomal RNA", at positions 524 to 776 of the family's 1533-position model. The record is from RNAcentral.
GACGUAGGGUGCAAGCGUUGUCCGGAAUUAUUGGGCGUAAAGAGCUCGUAGGCGGUCUGUCGCGUCGGAUGUGAAAAUCCAGGGCUCAACCCUGGACCUGCAUUCGAUACGGGCAGACUAGAGUUCGGCAGGGGAGACUGGAAUUCCUGGUGUAGCGGUGAAAUGCGCAGAUAUCAGGAGGAACACCGGUGGCGAAGGCGGGUCUCUGGGCCGAUACUGACGCUGAGGAGCGAAAGCGUGGGGAGCGAACAGG